AGAAUCAACGCUGGCGGCGUGCCUAACACAUGCAAGUCGAACGAGAAAGUGGAGCAAUCCAUGAGUAAAGUGGCGCACGGGUGAGUAACACGUGACUAACCUACCCUCGAGUGGGGAAUAACUUCGGGAAACCGAGGCUAAUACCGCAUAAAACCUAAGGGUCAAAGGAGCAAUCCGUUUGAGGAGGGGGUCGCGGCAGAUUAGUUAGUUGGCGGGGUAAUGGCCCACCAAGACGAUGAUCUGUAUCCGGCCUGAGAGGGCGCACGGACACACUGGAACUGAAACACGGUCCAGACUCCUACGGGAGGCAGCAGUGGGGAAUUUUGCGCAAUGGGGGAAACCCUGACGCGGCAACGCCGCGUGGAGGAUGAAAUCCCUUGGGAUGUAAACUCCUUUCGAUCGGGAAGAUAAUGACGGUACCGGAAGAAGAAGCCCCGGCUAACUUCGCGCCAGCAGCCGC
This 460-nucleotide ribosomal RNA is filed under the name uncultured bacterium. RNAcentral describes it as "SSU rRNA". It matches the Rfam family "Bacterial small subunit ribosomal RNA", at positions 26 to 518 of the family's 1533-position model. The record is from RNAcentral.